Ctenocephalides felis (cat flea) is the source of this 513-nucleotide long non-coding RNA. RefSeq lists it as uncharacterized. The record is from RefSeq and is a predicted model, not a curated record. NCBI's taxonomy places the organism in Eukaryota, Metazoa, Arthropoda, Insecta, Siphonaptera, Pulicidae. The transcript is spliced from 4 exons.
CUGCUGCUCUGCACACUGACUCCUUCACCAGGGAUCGCUCUGAAAAUAUUUUAUGAAGUCCUUUCAACUACCACUGUUCUGCACACUGACUCCUUCACCAGGAAUUUUUCCAGAAAUAUUUUACCAGAUCUUCUCAAUCCAACUAUUACUGCCCUGAAGCUCUAACAUCAAUGAGUUUAAAAUACUCAUUCAAAUGAAUGACUCGCAAGUGGUUUUUUUUUAAUAACUUCCUAUAAUUAUGCAUGAUUAACUUAACUCUUAUUAACUCAAUAACAUGACUAACCUCACUAACUUAAUCAGUUAUUAUAAAUACCACUUGUUGAGUUUUACUAUGAAGGUUUUACUGAGUUUGCUUGGAAGACGGGCUGAACGAUUAAUCAUGGAAAACGACAACUUGAAGCCAAGUGGUCUUCAACUCUCAAAUUUCUCAUUAGUGAGAACAAUCAUUUGAUCUACUAAUUAUGCUGUCCGUCCGUCCGUCUUUGCACCAAAGAAGAUGCCUACUGUGAUAUA